CUUUGGAAUGUGAAUUCACAAUUAAUUAGAUAGCAAAUCGAAAAUAGUUCUCGUGGAAUUAAAUUGUAUUUUUAAAUCGUUUACGAUCAGCAGGAAAAGGUAUCAGUCAGUUGUGAUAAUAAAUCCAACUCGGUUGAAAAUCAAAAUCCCAGUUCGGAGUGACUUCGGCUACCAAUCAGGUGGAUUUGCAGUCAAAGUAAAGUCGAUCCAGUUCCACGGAAAAGUCGCUGGCAAAAGUAGGGUAGUUGAACCAUACUUCAACACCCAAAUAUAAGGAAUCGAGGAGCAUUGGUACAGUGGGAGAAACCAGUUUAUUUGUAAGUAAGCUAGAUUAAUGAACUAUUGUUGUUUAUUCUAAAUAUUAAAAAUAAAUUACAGUUCAGCAUUGCUGAAAACAAAUCAGCUGCUUCGGAAAAACUUGGUUUCCCUAUCGGGAACACAGCCCAUCUGCUGUAGCAUCGACCACAGAUUCAAUGUGGUAGAAAUAAUCGCGCACUGAGAGUUGGUCACCAUUUUGUUGGCUUGAUCGGAUAACCAUUGCGAGCGAUUUUAAACCAGAAAGAUCCGUUGACUCAUCGAUGAGUAAACGAAGAAACUAGUUCUCAUAAUCUCGGCCAACUCUUUGAGGCUAGCUCUGCCUAUGACGUUGGUUUGUAUAGCUGUAAUUUUUGUUCUUCCCAGUUUCAGGUUUUGUGCAACGAUUGAAUCCUUGAAAAUUCGCUUCGACAAAUCGACAAAACUUUCGACAUCCAUUGCCGAAACAUUAUGCUCUGCUCCCCAUGCACAAAUUUGUA
Long non-coding RNA from Armigeres subalbatus, 794 nucleotides. RefSeq lists it as uncharacterized. Lineage: Eukaryota; Metazoa; Arthropoda; Insecta; Diptera; Culicidae. The record is from RefSeq and is a predicted model, not a curated record. The transcript has 3 exons.